AUGGCGGCGACAUCAGAUGCGUUUUCAACGAACCUCGGGUCCCAAGGGAGAGAUGAUGAUCUCGGUGACUUCUUCGACAAGUUGGAUCUCCAUGAGGAGGAGUUUGAUGACGUUGUAGUUGAAGAGGAAGCUCCAGAGCUGCUGGAGGAGAUUCGUUGGGUUGCCCUAGCUAGGGUUCAGACCAUGAAAAAUUUCAGCCAAUCGGCCUUCUACAAAGACAUGCGGGCGGCGUGGAAUUGUUCCCAGUUGGUUCGCUUCCGGCCAAUUGGCCCUAAUCUGUUUGUGGUUCAAGUUUAUUGUCUUGGUGAUUGGGAUCGCAUCAUGGGACAAGGACCGUGGCUGUUCCGCAACAUGGCGGUUCUGUUAGUGCCAUAUGAUGGGUUCACAAACACUGAAGAGGUGCCAAUAGAUUACAUGCCUAUCUGGCUCCAGAUCCAUAAGCUACCAGAUGGGUAUUGCAGACAUGAUCUGAUUACCAAGUUGCUCCGUUCUGCGGGUGAGGUCCUUGAAACCAGGCUUAAUGGUAACUCCAGAGGGGAUUACGUUCGGGUCAGAGUGAAACAUGACAUCAGGAAGCCGCUCACCAAAUUUGUGAGCAUUGUCAAGGGAGAAGCACGUAAGGUUUAUGCAGUAAGAUAUGAAAAGCUGGCAAGAUUCUGUAGCGCGUGUGGUAUCAUUGGCCAUGGGCAUAAGGAG
This 696-nucleotide ribosomal RNA is filed under the name Triticum aestivum (bread wheat). Its description in RNAcentral is "partial small subunit ribosomal RNA". Lineage: Eukaryota; Viridiplantae; Streptophyta; Magnoliopsida; Poales; Poaceae. The record is from RNAcentral.